CCUACGGGAGGCAGCAGUGGGGAAUAUUGCACAAUGGGGGAAACCCUGAUGCAGCGACGCCGCGUGAGUGAAGAAGUACUUCGUUAUGUAAAGCUCUAUCAGCAGGGAAGAAAAUGACGGUACCUGAGUAAGAAGCCCCGGCCAACUACGUGCCAGCAGCCGCGGUAAUACGGAGGGGGCAAGCGUUAUCCGGAUUUACUGGGUGUAAAGGGAGCGUAGACGGCAGUGCAAGUCAGGAGUGAAAGGCGGGGGCUCAACCCCCGGACUGCUCUGGAAACUGUACGGCUUGAGUGCAGGAGAGGUAAGUGGAAUUCCUGGUGUAGCGGUGAAAUGCGUAGAUAUUAGGAAGAACACCGGUGGCGAAGGCGGCUUACUGGACUGUAACUGACGUUGAGGCUCGAAAGCGUGGGGAGCAAACAGGAUUAGAUACCCGAGUAGUC
Molecule: ribosomal RNA, 440 nt
Filed under: uncultured bacterium
Lineage: Bacteria
Description: partial 16S ribosomal RNA
Rfam family: Bacterial small subunit ribosomal RNA
Source: RNAcentral